CGCGUACGGUCCAGCUGACCAUACAUGUUUUGGGAUCAUAUGGGUUAAAUGUUAACAAACAUUUAUCAAAAUCUUUAUUUUUAGUUAUACAAAUUGUUAUUAUUAAAAUUAGAUGGAUAAAGUGAAUAAGCGAACAAUUAAAAUUAAAUAUUUGUUUAAUUUUAUAUCCGUGAAUCCUAUUUUGUUACUCUGGCCCAAGAUGACACUUGCUUCCACAAGGAACGUCAUAUAUUUUUUAACAUUAACAUGUUUUGUUCAUGCAUGUUCCUUUGCAUAUGCAUUUUUUGUAAAGUUCCUAAAUAUUCUAAAACAAUUGUCCUCCCACAUUAUGUUUACUUCCGAUGACUUCAAUUUCAAUGAGCAUACUGGGCUGUAAUUAAUGAAUUACUGACAUGCUAAGUACAGGAGAUUAACAGAUUAAAUAAGCC
Molecule: long non-coding RNA, 428 nt
Filed under: Mytilus galloprovincialis (Mediterranean mussel)
Lineage: Eukaryota; Metazoa; Mollusca; Bivalvia; Mytilida; Mytilidae
Source: RNAcentral